Papilio machaon (common yellow swallowtail) is the source of this 472-nucleotide long non-coding RNA. RefSeq lists it as uncharacterized. The record is from RefSeq and is a predicted model, not a curated record. The transcript has 3 exons. Lineage: Eukaryota; Metazoa; Arthropoda; Insecta; Lepidoptera; Papilionidae.
UGUAAGAGCGACAUAUUCGAGGUGCGUGCGAACAAUGGUGAGGUGUUGGAGCGAGUCAACAACAGUGAGGGCGUGUUCUCUUUAUGUCAGAGGGAGCCCCCGCAGCCUCCUCCCCUCGCCCGGGACAUUAUCUUCGCCAUCAGAGGCGCUGCUGUACUCCUCAAGUGUCCAGGCACUACAUUACAAGACAAGCCGGUGAGAUGGCGGAUAGGCAAUAAGGAGGUGGAUCCACGGAAGCUGGACAUCACCACUGGGGGCAGAAUUCAUCUCAACGCCAGAGAUCAUAUCAUCAUUGUCACCGCAGAGUAUACCGACUCUAAUGUCUAUAGUUGUUGGCAAGAUGAGAAGCUAUCAGGUGUUAUAAAGUUGAAAUUAUUCUCCGAGUUCCGCAACAAGUGCGGUCAUCGUCUGACACUGCUGGGUCUACUGUGCGGGAUGACGCUCGUACAUCGCGCUCUCAACAAUCUCUACC